This 1387-nucleotide ribosomal RNA is filed under the name metagenome. Its description in RNAcentral is "bacterial SSU rRNA". It matches the Rfam family "Archaeal small subunit ribosomal RNA". The record is from RNAcentral.
UCCAGUUGAUCCUGCUGGCGGAUGCGGCUAUCUGGUUUGCCAUUAGACAUGCAAGUUUUUUGGUUUCUUCUGAAAUUAAGGAGCAAACUGCUCAGUAACACGUAGUUAACUUGCCCUAUGGUCUGGAACAAUCUCGGGAAACUGAGUCUAAUAUCAGAUAGGUGAAAUUUUCUGGAAUGAUUUUUCGCCCAACAUAGGAUAGGACUGCGGCUGAUUAGGUUGUUGGCGGGGUAAAUGCCCACCAAGCCGAUUAUCAGUAAGGGCUCUUAGCGGAGAAGCCCUGAGAGGGGAUCUUAGACACUAUCCCCAGCCUUACGGGGUGCAGCAGUUAGGAAAAUUCUACAAUGCGCGCAAGCGUGAUAGAGCAAGCCAGAGUGCGUUUCUAUAAUUGAAACGCUUUUGUACGAUGUAAAAAGUCGUUCGAAUAAGGACUGGGAAAGACUGGUGCCAGCCGCCGCGGUAAUACCAGCAGUCCAAGUCGCAUCCAUUUUUAUUGGGUCUAAAACAUCCGUAGCUUGUUUUGUAAGUUUCAUGUAAAAUCUAGUAUCUUAAGUAUUGGGCUGCAUGAAAUACUGCAAAGCUAGAGACCGGGAGACGUAAAGAGUACAGUUCGGGUAGCGGUUAAAUGCGUUGAUCCUUACUGGACUAACAAUAGCGAAGGCACUUUACGAGAACGGUUCUGACAGUGAGGGAUGAAGGCUAGGGUCGCAAAACGGAUUAGAUACCCGUGUAGUCCUAGCAGUAAACACUGCACACUAAACAUUGGUACCUCUUCGAGAGGUGUCAGUGCUGUAGGGAAGCCGAAGAGUGUGCUACCUGGGAAGUAUAGUCGCAAGGCCGAAACUUAAAGGAAUAGGCGGGGGGAUACUACAACCAGUGACGCGUGCGGUUCAAUUAGAUUCCACACCGUGAACCUCACCAGGAUCGACAGCAGAAUGAAGGUCAGUCUGAAGGGCUUACCUGACACGCUGAGAGGAGAUGCAUGGCCGACGUCAGCCUGUGUCGUGAGAUGACCUGUUAAAUCAGGUAACAGGCGAGACCCGUGUGUAUAUUUACAUCGUACAAUAUAUAGACUGCCUUGGUAACAAGGAGGAAGGUGCGGGCUACGUUAGGUGAGUACGUCCCGAAUACCCUGGGCAACACGCGCGCGGCAAUGCUGAAUUCAAAGGGCUGCGACACCGAAAGGUGAAGCUAAUCUCAUAAACUUCAGCCUAGUUCAGAUCGAGGUUUGCAACUCAGCCUCGUGACGCUGGAAUUGGUAGUAAUCGGAUUUUAUCAGAUUCCGGUGAAUAAGUCAAUGUCCCUUGCACUAAUCGCCCGUCAAACCAACCGAGUUAUGCGCUGACGAGGCUCGUCAGAGACGAAUCUUUGUAUGACAAGGUAGGUU